AAUUCCGGACCUCUGCUCUUGCUGUUCUUUGUGAUGUCAGCAGGGAGGGGUGCUCCCUGGCUGUGGAACUUCCCACACAUCCCAGCUUGACCCAGCUGACUUCCUCUGCACUGCCUGUCGCCCAGUUCAGUGGCAGCCCCAGCCUGGAGCACACACUUUGAGACCCGGGUUGGCACUCGGUGCCACCUCCCUGAGCCCUGGGUCUAAGGAGGGACAUGGACAUCCUGGCUUAACCCAGACCAGGCCUACCCUCAGCAUCAAGCAUUUGUCCCUUGGGGCAGAAAUAAGACAGGAGACUGCAAGAUGAGGGACCCUCUGCAUGCGGAAUCCAAGGUUUUCUCGAUACAUGUAUGCGAGGCUGCCGGCUGGCCUCUAGCUCCAACACAGCACGAUGAUCACGGACCUCUCCUCCGGCCUUCACCUCUACGAGCUGGAACUACAGGGGUGCCUAGUUUUAGACAGUGCUGGGGCCCGAACCCAGCGCUUUGUGUAAGCUACGGGCAGAGUGUUCUGUGGCUGAGCUGUGCCCGCAGCCUGUGCACACUGUCUAACCAGAAAGCAGCAGAGCACUUGACACCAUGGUGUGAAACGAUCAGGGACCGACCACCCACGCGGGCGAGUGGGUGCAUCAAGCGACAGAACAAACUGUUCUGAGGCCAGUGCGAGGCCGUGACGGAGAGCUGUUAAACCAACCAGUCAGAAUGAACCAGGCCCUGUUACCUCCUA
Long non-coding RNA from Peromyscus leucopus (white-footed mouse), 726 nucleotides. RefSeq lists it as uncharacterized. Lineage: Eukaryota; Metazoa; Chordata; Mammalia; Rodentia; Cricetidae. The transcript has 2 exons. The record is from RefSeq and is a predicted model, not a curated record.